GACGAACGCUGGCGGCGUGCUUAACACAUGCAAGUCGAACGGAAAGGCCCUGCUUUUGUGGGGUGCUCGAGUGGCGAACGGGUGAGUAACACGUGAGUAACCUGCCCUUGACUUUGGGAUAACUUCAGGAAACUGGGGCUAAUACCGGAUAGGAGCUCCUGCUGCAUGGUGGGGGUUGGAAAGUUUCGGCGGUUGGGGAUGGACUCGCGGCUUAUCAGCUUGUUGGCGGGGUAGUGGCUUACCAAGGCUUCGACGGGUAGCCGGCCUGAGAGGGUGACCGGCCACAUUGGGACUGAGAUACGGCCCAGACUCCUACGGGAGGCAGCAGUGGGGAAUAUUGCACAAUGGGCGGAAGCCUGAUGCAGCAACGCCGCGUGCGGGAUGACGGCCUUCGGGUUGUAAACCGCUUUCGCCUGUGACGAAGCGUGAGUGACGGUAAUGGGUAAAGAAGCACCGGCUAACUACGUG
RNAcentral lists this ribosomal RNA (468 nucleotides) under uncultured bacterium. RNAcentral's name for it is "partial 16S ribosomal RNA". It matches the Rfam family "Bacterial small subunit ribosomal RNA", at positions 28 to 507 of the family's 1533-position model. The record is from RNAcentral.